Molecule: small nuclear RNA, 104 nt
Organism: Monodelphis domestica (gray short-tailed opossum)
Lineage: Eukaryota; Metazoa; Chordata; Mammalia; Didelphimorphia; Didelphidae
Source: Ensembl
GUGCUCACUGAGGCAGCACAUAUACUAAAACUGGAACAAUACAGAGAUUAGCAUGGUCCCUGCGCAAGGAUGACAUGCAAAUUUGUGAAGCUUUCUGUAUUUUU